RNAcentral lists this ribosomal RNA (492 nucleotides) under uncultured bacterium. RNAcentral's name for it is "partial 16S ribosomal RNA". It matches the Rfam family "Bacterial small subunit ribosomal RNA", at positions 29 to 507 of the family's 1533-position model. The record is from RNAcentral.
AGUGAACGCUGGCGGUAGGCCUAACACAUGCAAGUCGAACGGCAGCACAGUGAGAGCUUGCUCUUACGGGUGGCGAGUGGCGGACGGGUGAGGAAUACAUCGGAAUCUACUUUUUCGUGGGGGAUAACGUAGGGAAACUUACGCUAAUACCGCAUACGACCUACGGGUGAAAGCAGGGGAUCUUCGGACCUUGCGCGAUUGAAUGAGCCGAUGUCGGAUUAGCUAGUUGGCGGGGUAAAGGCCCACCAAGGCGACGAUCCGUAGCUGGUCUGAGAGGAUGAUCAGCCACACUGGAACUGAGACACGGUCCAGACUCCUACGGGAGGCAGCAGUGGGGAAUAUUGGACAAUGGGCGCAAGCCUGAUCCAGCCAUACCGCGUGGGUGAAGAAGGCCUUUGGGUUGUAAAGCCCUUUUGUUGGGAAAGAAAAGCAGCAGGUUAAUACCCCGCUGUUCUGACGGUACCCAAAGAAUAAGCACCGGCUAACUUCGUG